Molecule: ribosomal RNA, 231 nt
Filed under: uncultured bacterium
Lineage: Bacteria
Description: partial 16S ribosomal RNA
Rfam family: Bacterial small subunit ribosomal RNA
Source: RNAcentral
CCUAGUGGCGAACGGGUGAGUAACGCGUGGGAAUCUGCCUUUUGGUUCGGAAUAACACGAGGAAACUUGUGCUAAUACCGGAUAAGCCCUUACGGGGAAAGUUUUAAUGCCAAAAGAUGAGCCCGCACUUGAUUAGCUAGUUGGUAAGGUAAUGGCUUACCAAGACUGUGAUCAAUAGCUGAUUUGAGAGGAUGAUCAGCCACACUGGGACUGAGAUACGGCCCAGACUCC